RNAcentral lists this non-coding RNA (28 nucleotides) under Rattus norvegicus (Norway rat). The record is from RNAcentral. Lineage: Eukaryota; Metazoa; Chordata; Mammalia; Rodentia; Muridae.
UCCCACAGAUGUGAACUGGGUUUAGGAC